Molecule: ribosomal RNA, 525 nt
Filed under: uncultured bacterium
Lineage: Bacteria
Description: bacterial SSU rRNA
Rfam family: Bacterial small subunit ribosomal RNA
Source: RNAcentral
UGGGGAAUCUUGCACAAUGGAGGAAACUCUGAUGCAGCGACGCCGCGUGAGCGAUGAAGCCCUUCGGGGUGUAAAGCUCUUUCGACGGGAACGAUAAUGACGGUACCCGGAGAAGAAGCUGCGGCUAACUACGUGCCAGCAGCCGCGGUAAUACGUAGGCAGCAAGCGUUGUUCGGAAUUACUGGGCGUAAAGAGUGUGUAGGCGGUUCUCUAUGUUCGGUGUGAAAUCUCCCGGCUUAACUGGGAGGGUGCGCCGAAAACUGGAGGGCUUGAGUAUGGGAGAGGAAAGCGGAAUUCCUGGUGUAGCGGUGAAAUGCGUAGAUAUCAGGAGGAACACCUGCGGUGUAGACGGCUUUCUGGACCAUCACUGACGCUGAGACACGAAAGCGUGGGGAGCAAACAGGAUUAGAUACCCUGGUAGUCCACGCCCUAAACGAUGCAUACUUGGUGUGGCCGGUACCCAAUCCGGCUGUGCCGAAGCUAACGCGAUAAGCAUCCCGCCUGGGGAGUACGGUCGCAAGGCUG